RNAcentral lists this ribosomal RNA (621 nucleotides) under uncultured bacterium. RNAcentral describes it as "bacterial SSU rRNA". It matches the Rfam family "Bacterial small subunit ribosomal RNA", at positions 338 to 956 of the family's 1533-position model. The record is from RNAcentral.
CCUACGGGAGGCAGCAGUGGGGAAUUUUGGACAAUGGGCGCAAGCCUGAUCCAGCCAUUCCGCGUGAGUGAAGAAGGCCUUCGGGUUGUAAAGCUCUUUCGCAAGGGAAGAAAACUUAGUCUCUAACAUAGACUGAGGUUGACGGUACCUUGAUAAGAAGCACCGGCUAACUACGUGCCAGCAGCCGCGGUAAUACGUAGGGUGCGAGCGUUAAUCGGAAUUACUGGGCGUAAAGCGUGCGCAGGCUGUUUUGUAAGUCAGAUGUGAAAUCCCUGAGCUCAACUUAGGAACUGCGUUUGAAACUACAAGACUAGAAUAUGUCAGAGGGGGGUAGAAUUCCACGUGUAGCAGUGAAAUGCGUAGAGAUGUGGAGGAAUACCAAUGGCGAAGGCAGCCCCCUGGGAUAAUAUUGACGCUCAUGCACGAAAGCGUGGGGAGCAAACAGGAUUAGAUACCCUGGUAGUCCACGCCCUAAACGAUGUCUACUAGUUGUUGGUGGAGUAAAAUCCAUGAGUAACGCAGCUAACGCGUGAAGUAGACCGCCUGGGGGAGUACGGUUCGCAAGAUUAAAACUCAAAGGAUUGACGGCUUGAGACGNGCGAGACGACGACGAGGAGGAGG